RNAcentral lists this transfer RNA (681 nucleotides) under uncultured cyanobacterium. RNAcentral's name for it is "partial 16S-23S ribosomal RNA intergenic spacer". The stretch from base 251 to 323 matches the Rfam family "tRNA". The record is from RNAcentral. Lineage: Bacteria; Bacillati; Cyanobacteriota.
CAGGGAGACAACAACUGAUCUUGAUGUCUGAGUUAUUAAUUCUUAGGCUGAGAUCCUGUCACCUUAGGUCGAUCGGUACCUCAGAUUAUCUUUCAGAAGCUUCAAUAGUUUUUGAUUUAAUUUCAGUUCCUAAACUUGUCUAGGUCACACCCUCAAGGGUUACUCCUGGGCCAUUAGCUCAGGUGGUUAGAGCGCACCCCUGAUAAGGGUGAGGUCCCUGGUUCAAGUCCAGGAUGGCCCAUUCGGUGUUGGGGGUAUAGCUCAGUUGGUAGAGCGCCUGCUUUGCAAGCAGGAUGUCAGCGGUUCGAGUCCGCUUACCUCCACUGGCCGACCCCUUUCAGCAAUGAGUUGAGAGCCUUUGUUUGAUGUGAUUUAGUCUUUAUUCCGCUGAUAGAACCUAGCUUCCUUUCAUUCCAAUUCUUAGUAAAGAUAAGGUUGAAAGAAUGCUGGGCUCACUUCAAUUUAAAUUUUAAAUUGAAGAGAUGUUCGGCAGAGCCUUGACAACUGCAUAGUGAGUCUGGAAAAGAAGAAAAGCAUCUCAUAGAUGCAUUGCUCUCUUUUUUAUCUUUGGCUAGAUCAAAGAAAAUCUAGAAAGCAAUGUUUUUUUAUUGAGUAAGAGCUGAGAGUUUAUGGCUUUAGGAUCUUUAAAAUAAGGUUUUAGAACCCAUAGAUUUUUAUUUU